GAUGAACGCUGGCGGCGUGCCUAACACAUGCAAGUCGAACGGAGUCGUUUUGGAAAUCUCUUCGGAGAUGGAAUUCUCGACUUAGUGGCGGACGGGUGAGUAACGCGUGAGCAAUCUGCCUUUAAGAGGGGGAUAACAGUCGGAAACGGCUGCUAAUACCGCAUAAAGCAUUAAAUUCGCAUGUUUUUGAUGCCAAAGGAGCAAUCCGCUUUUAGAUGAGCUCGCGUCUGAUUAGCUAGUUGGCGGGGUAACGGCCCACCAAGGCGACGAUCAGUAGCCGGACUGAGAGGUUGAACGGCCACAUUGGGACUGAGACACGGCCCAGACUCCUACGGGAGGCAGCAGUGGGGAAUAUUGCGCAAUGGGGGAAACCCUGACGCAGCAACGCCGCGUGAUUGAAGAAGGCCUUCGGGUUGUAAAGAUCUUUAAUCAGGGACGAAACAAAUGACGCUACCUGAAGAAUAAGCUCCGGCUAACUACGUG
RNAcentral lists this ribosomal RNA (483 nucleotides) under uncultured bacterium. Its description in RNAcentral is "partial 16S ribosomal RNA". It matches the Rfam family "Bacterial small subunit ribosomal RNA", at positions 28 to 507 of the family's 1533-position model. The record is from RNAcentral.